Molecule: transfer RNA, 66 nt
Filed under: Halticorcus sp. BMNH 846646
Lineage: Eukaryota; Metazoa; Arthropoda; Insecta; Coleoptera; Chrysomelidae
Description: tRNA-Tyr
Source: RNAcentral
GGUAAAAUGGCUGAGAUUUUAGGCAAUAAAUUGUAAAUUUAUUUACGAAUAGUGAUUCUUUUACCA